Molecule: long non-coding RNA, 5012 nt
Organism: Galeopterus variegatus (Sunda flying lemur)
Lineage: Eukaryota; Metazoa; Chordata; Mammalia; Dermoptera; Cynocephalidae
Exons: 4
Source: RefSeq, a predicted model, not a curated record
UGUUUAGUAGCAAUAUUGCCUCUAGAAGAUUAAAAUUACUAUUAGUUAAAGUCUAAUUCUUAUAUGUAAUAUUUUCAGUAAUGCUGGUUGUAUGUCUGGCUUCUUACACUUCUCACAUAUUGACUUGAAUGCUCUUCACUCUUAUUUCUCUUUAGGACUUUUAACUCCACUUUGCUAAUGAAAUUGCAGUAUUUGUUAAGAAAGAGCUAUGAGAUUGAUUUCUACAUUUUUAGUGGGUUGAAGGACCACAAUUGUACGAAUUGAGAACUACAGUAUGUUGUAUUAGAAUUGAAACCACAGCAAGUGAGAAGAUAACUGUGAGAAUCAGCAUCCCAGACCAGUGGGAGUCCAGGAUGAAGAAGAUAAAUGUGGCAUUGGGACAGGUGCUGCCCUCACCUGCACCUCUGGCAGAAAACCACAGAGUGACGUAGCAAUCUUCUCAUGAGCCAUAAAAGGAGGCACAAGCUGUAAAUGAUCCUAUGACCAGACAUGUUAACUUUGAUCAAUUGAUUAAGUUGGUGAGUUCCCCACUGUAAAGGACUCUAUGCAUUCUUUAUAAUCAAUAUGUAUCUUCUGAGGAGAUACUUUGAGACUCUAUAAAUAGACUAUAAAAUUGCAUCUGCUUAGUUUUGGAAUCCACAGAUGAAUCUGGCGGAGUGAACUGUGACACCUGACACAUGGUUACUCGCUAGCUCCGUCACUGCUUCUACGUGUAUCAGUUUUUGUUCUGCAAGGAAAAGCUUUUCCUUCUCUCCGUUUGCUCAUUUACUGCCUGUUAUGGACUAAAUGUUUGUGUCCCCCCUAAAUUCAUGUGCUGAAGCCCUGACCACCAAAGCGAUCGUUUUUGGAGGUGGAGAUGUUGAGAGGUCAUUAGGUUUAGCUGGGGUCACUCUGUCUGCCAUGUGAAAACGUAGUGAGAUGUCAGUUUCUGUAAGCCGGGAAGUGGGUGCUCACCAGAAAGUGAAUAGGCUGGCACCUGGAUCUUGGACUUUCCACCUCCAGAACCAUAAGAAGUAAAUUUUGUUGUUUAAACCACCCACUCUAUGGAUUUUGCUAUAUCAGCCCCUGGUGACUAAUAUAAAAUCAUUCAGUUCAUAUCAGUGUGGACUCAUGGAUUCUUACUUUACACAACUGGUUAUAUUUCUUAGUUAUCAUGAUUUUAUAUUUAAAUUGUUCUGCAUUUUCCCAGCAGCAGCGGUGCCUUCAGGCUAGCUAUUGUGUCCCACCAAUGUCUCUCCAUCAUUCUUUGAGUCUUUCCCUACUUUAUGGCCCAAAAAGAGUUUUCAGGCUCAUUUUUUCCCCCUGUGCCAGCCUUACUCAGGCAUUUCUAUAUAGAUGAACUUUUUAAUGUGAAAAACCAAAGUUUCAAUAGCUAUGGGGUUAUCCCCACUUAGUUCUUAAAUUUAAUUAUUCUGUAAAUAUUAUACCUGAGCUGUAGAUCAUGGAUAAUACUGAGCACAACUCAGGAUUUUACAUGAAGUUCUAUGUGCUUUGCAUUGCUGACAAGUGCUCUGUCUUUAUCCAGCUUAGAGGACUUUUAGAAUUUUGGGGGUGGCACUUACCUGGGAAGCAGAUCAGGGACAUUGUGAGUAAUCUUACAUGAUGGCACAGGGAAGAUAGAAGGAGCUUGUGUUCUGAUAGCCAUGGCGUAAUCUAGACAGUCUCUGGCUUCUCACCCCCUUUCUUCUCCCUCCACACCACCCCUUUAUUUAACAUGUGUCUCACAUGGGACUUAAGAAAGGGUCUGUGUGAUGUACAACUUUGGACAGGUUCCUCCCUUGCUCUAUAACUCCCUUUGUCUCCCACUGCAUUUGGGGUGACAUUCAGGUUGCCAGCUGAAGCCCUUUGGGGAUUAGUAUUUAUCAUCUUAGGUUAACAUCACCGGUUCACUUUUUCUUCUUUAAAAAGUUGCUUUACAGUGUUAUGCACAAAGUGUCUGUUUAAUGAGAGGAUAUGUGAGUGACUACAUGGGUGCAAGAAUGAAGAAUGGUCUGGAACUUUCUUUUCCAGUGGAAUUUUAAAGUGAGAACUAUGCCUUUGCUGACUCCAGCACAACUUGUCUGGAGCUGUUUUCUGCCUGCUUUUGAAGAUCUCUCUCAAUCAGUAAGAAGUGACUGAUGUUGAGUGGCCAAAGCUUUCUAAGCAGAUAACAGUUGACCAAGCUCUUUAGCAACCUAAUAAUUCCAAUCUCAAUAUUGUGGUCAUUCUAUCACACUCACUGAGAAUGGAUUGCACUGUGCAGCUUUGUUAUCCCAUAGGGCCUUUGGAAAUCUACCUACACCUGAUGAACGUUCUCCAAGCCUCAGUUGCAAACACAUGGAGAGGGUGAAAGAUUUGUAUAUUAUUUAAGAUGAUUUCAGCUACAGAUAGUAGAAUACUACUUAAAAAUGGCUGAACUUAUAGGAGUUUAUUGUAUUUCCUAACAAGAAUUAAUUCCAGGUGUUUCUAUCUUUCCAUGCCAUUAUAUCCACAGCACUGGCUGUCAUUCUCUAGCUUCUUUCCUCAUGGUCACAAGAUGGCUGCAGCCCUUCCAGACAUCACAAACUCACCCAAUUAUAUUCAAAGGCAGGAAGAGAGAGGUUUCUCUCUUUGUAUUUCUUUACCAGAGAAGAAAGCUUUUCCACAAAUCCUGUCACCAGUCUUUCCUUCCGAUCUCAUUGGUCCAAAUAAGUACUAAAUUCAGAGGAGUUUGGGAAGGUGAGUAUUUGACAUUUUUAGGAGGGGGCUAGGUGGGCAGUGGAUACUGUUGAGAACAGAUGCUAAAGUGGCAACUCCAGUUACCAUCAUCACACUGAUCCCGAUAAUGUUCUGGAGGAGUCCAGAUGACAUUUUCUGGCUCUAUGGCCUCAGACACUGUCUGGGUAAUAAUAGUAUCUGUGGAUUUUUCAUGGGACACAUAUUUUCUUAAACUAUUUGAUCAAAGGUUGAUGUUUUCAAAUUGAAAGAACAACACAGAUGCUGGUUAUUACUUUUGUUUUGUGAGAACAAUUUUUGCAUUAUUUUUAGAAGAAAUAAGAAAGCUUACAUAAGAACAAAUAAUUACAUAACCACAGUCACAGAAUUAGAAGUUCUCACAUUUCACUGCCUCUUUCCCCUUUCCUCCAUUCCUUCCCUUUUCCUAUUUGAUCUUGCUUGUGGUGUUAGAAGUGCAGAAACACUUGCUUUGGCAGGAUGGUGUGUGCCUAUCAAAUAUCCCUGUAAAAUCCAUCCCAUAAUAUAAAUAAAUAUCACACUUUUUUUUAUCCUUUUUGUUGAAUUAUGCUAUCAAAUGAGAUGUUAAAUGCCAGCUCAUGGGAUGUGCUUGACAGCUAACAAAGUGAAUAUAUGAAUAUAUUCCUAACAAAACAUCUCACAGAAGCUGUAAUCUCUGAAUUGUGACAACUUUGGGUGGAAUCAUUAUAAUAGAAUAUAAUGCACAAAAUGCCUGAAAUACUGUGAUAAGAAUUUCAAAAGCUGCUUAAUGCAAAAACUCAAUGCACUGGGUUAUAAAGGCGGAAAAGGUCUUAAUGUGAAAUAUUUUAAUGAACACUCAUUGUGUGGAAAUGUGAAUAAUGAAAAUGAGAACCGCAUGAUUAUAAAGGAGGAGAGAUAGGAAAAAUAAGUAAGCUUGGAAGGGUUCUAACAGCUAAUGCCUAGCCAAAGGAAAAGGAAGUCAGCUAACGGACUCCUUGCAUGGGAACUGUAUGCACCCAGAUAGCUUGGUGGUGGGGUCAUUACUUGAGUGAACAUUGUCGUGCGUGCUGCCUUGUACGCACUUGAAUAUUCCUCGGAAUGAAAUUGCGGGGUCAAAGUGCAUCGUCAGCUAGAUAAGAUAUUGCAAAAUAUCUCUUUGUAAGUGAUUGAGCAGAGGGAAGAACUUUCGUUUCUUUUAGUCUCAUCCACACUUUAUCUUUUAACACGUAGGUAUUUUUAACCAUCUGCUAGGUACAGGAUGCUGCCUUCUUUACAUUUGUACUUGUCUGGUUGCUACUGAGGUUGAACAUUGCAUUAUAUGUUUGCUGCUCAUUUGGUUUCUUCUGUUAAUAACUUAUUGAAAAGUCUGUUAUCUCCCAUUCUUCAAAUGACUGUGAUCCACACAAAUGUAGGGGACCCUUGGCCUGUGGGGCCUGCUGGAUACAUGGGGCCAGCAUGGGACAUCCAGAGAAACGAGAAUGCGUUUGCGGAGCGGAACUCAGAACUUUGAGAUCCUGGACCCAAAUCCUGAUUAUUAGUCAUAGAUGAAGUUAUGGAUUAUUUGUCCCCACCUGGUGCCCUAUGUCUUGCUGUGCACAAGAGAGAGAAGUAUCCAUGCCUGGACUUGUAACUGCACCUGGCACAGAGUAAGGGAUCUGUAGUUUGCUUGUUGUAGAGUAAGACGAGACAGAUGGCAGAACCACAGAUGCAUACUCCUGCAAUCUGAGAAGCUGCUCUAGAUGAUGUGAAGACCUGUGAACCUGAUGACAGAUUUUUAUUAUUCAUGCUACUACAUUUUGGGUAACUUGUUAUUUAGCAGUAGCUGACCAAUGCACCCACAGGACUCUCUACCUUCUCUUCCAUCAUUUUAUCCUUCAGUGUGUGUAUCGUGGUUUAGAAACACCUUAUAUAUUGCCUCACAAUAUUCCUCAGCUUCACUGGUAUAUUAUUUAAGACUGCAAGUGACAGAAACCAAGGUAAAACUGGCUUUAUGUAAGAGAUAUUCAUUAACUCACAUGACAGGAAGUCCACAUGAAUCCAGAUGUUGAAAUAUUAUUAUUGGGAACUCUUUCUUUUCUGCUGGGUUUUUUUUUUUCUUAUAGUAGCAAGUUGGGCUUGUUAAAUCCCCAGGCUUCCAUUCAACCAAGUUUCGUACACUUAGUAAAAACAAAGUUUUUUUGUUUGCUGUUUCAAUGCUUAGUGCAAAAGGAUAAACUUUAAGCUGGUAAACACCUCAGACAAAAUGAAAAACCAAUAAUACUAAUUUGUCUUUAUUGUAAAUUUUGAUAUUUUGUUCAUUGUGGAUUCUUUGACAUGUAUUUUGAUUUUUAAGAAUAUUC